GACGAACGCUGGCGGCGUGCCUAAUACAUGCAAGUUGAGCGCUGAAGGUUGGUACUUGUACCAACUGGAUGAGCAGCGAACGGGUGAGUAACGCGUGGGGAAUCUGCCUUUGAGCGGGGGACAACAUUUGGAGACGAAUGCUAAUACCGCAUAAAAACUUUAAACACAAGUUUUAAGUUUGAAAGAUGCAAUUGCAUCACUCAAAGAUGAUCCCGCGUUGUAUUAGCUAGUUGGUGAGGUAAAGGCUCGCCAAGGCGAUGAUACAUAGCCGACCUGAGAGGGUGAUCGGCCACAUUGGGACUGAGACACGGCCCAAACUCCUACGGGAGGCAGCAGUAGGGAAUCUUCGGCAAUGGACGAAAGUCUGACCGAGCAACGCCGCGUGAGUGAAGAAGGUUUUCGGAUCGUAAAACUCUGUUGGUAGAGAAGAACGUUGGUGAGAGUGGAAAGCUCAUCAAGUGACGGUAACUACCCAGAAAGGGACGGCUAACUACGUG
RNAcentral lists this ribosomal RNA (497 nucleotides) under uncultured bacterium. RNAcentral's name for it is "partial 16S ribosomal RNA". It matches the Rfam family "Bacterial small subunit ribosomal RNA", at positions 28 to 507 of the family's 1533-position model. The record is from RNAcentral.